Long non-coding RNA from Rhagoletis zephyria (snowberry fruit fly), 265 nucleotides. RefSeq lists it as uncharacterized. The record is from RefSeq and is a predicted model, not a curated record. NCBI's taxonomy places the organism in Eukaryota, Metazoa, Arthropoda, Insecta, Diptera, Tephritidae.
AAGUGCGCACUUUUUCAAAUAUUUUUAAUUAGUUUGAAAAAACUUUUAUUACUGGAAAUAAUCAUAACGCGAAAUAUUCUCCUGAGUUUUGGUCAGUGCAUGCAUCGGAAACAGAAACUUUUUCUAGAACGUAAAACCGUGGCGAAGGGUGGCAUCGCCGCAAAAAGUAGUUGUUGUAGGAAGCAAUUCCCAGUUUCUAUAAUCUUGUAUUGAAUUUACAAGAACUUAUUUUUGCAAAAUCUCAAAUUUCCAGAAAGGAUAACAA